Molecule: long non-coding RNA, 4176 nt
Organism: Apis cerana (Asiatic honeybee)
Lineage: Eukaryota; Metazoa; Arthropoda; Insecta; Hymenoptera; Apidae
Source: RefSeq, a predicted model, not a curated record
GCGCAAAUUUUUAUUAAAAAAAAUAACUCGUAACUACGAUAUAUUAGCGGAAAAUAAGUUUAUCGCGUUUUCCUUAUUUUAUCAAUUUUUUUAGAUUAAAAGUUAAGUCAAUCGGCACGAUGCGACUUUCCAUGCGAUAAUUACGUACUCGGUCGAUAAUAAUAAUUCCCUUUUCUUCUUUCUUUUUUGCGGUUCACGUGGUAGAUGCGAGUAUGCACGGCAAACACGUGACGCUUGCGUGCGGUUCAAAACCGAAUGUGAUCAAUACGCGUACGCGUACUCCGUGCGUACGAUCGUCACGUGUGCCAUGCGUGAUGCAAAUGCGUUUUUCAUGCGUAUAAUUGCGAAUUUAUCGCAGGCCUCUGUUUUUUAUUCCGAUAAUGAAUUCCGCGACUUUCUCCAACUGCCGUCAACGCGAGCCUCGUCGUUUGGCCGCGUGACUCUGUUACAAUCAGAAGCAGAGGGAGGGAGAAUAAUUAAAAAUGAAUCAGAACGGGAAUAAAUAAAAAGUAUACAAUCUUUUUCCAAGGAGUGAACGAAAUUUUGAAAACUUGGAAAAAUUCUGCUCGAGUUUCAAUUUCGAUUCUCCGAAAAAAGGAGUAAAAUAAAAUAAACUCUUCUGUCCAAUAAUUCGCUUCGAUUUCACGUCGGGUCGGAGAUUGGCCACUUGUAGAUUUUUUUCUAAAAUUAUUAUAUUUUUCCUCUUUCAACUUCGCGGAAAUUUUCCUCCUCACAGUGUCCUAGAAACCAUCCAGCGGAAAUUUCUGUGUAAAUAUUGAUUCACGCGUUUUGGAAAAUUGGGCAGGUGUAUCGGCCAUCGAUUCUCCUCGAAUCCAAAAAACGGCAGCUUGUUGGCGCGGGAAUAUAAUCCUCUUCUUGCUGUUUAAGUGUUGCACGCCGAUAUCCUCGAUCGAAGGAGUGGUUGGAAACUUGGCACGAAACUUCCAUCCGGAGUCGGAGGAAGCUCGAAGAAAGGAUGCUCAACAAGUUGGCGAGAUGACUUGCGGCUUCGAGUCGAGGAUCUGUUAUCUAUACGUAUCUUUAAUUUAUUUCUAAAAAACGACGAUGCAGGAAGGUGUUACGAUGACGCCAGUGUUUGGAAAUGUUUGGAUAUGGAUUGGGAAAAUAUUUGUCCUCUGACACUUGGUUACACGCAUCGACACGAUUAAAUUUCGACAUUAUUGCGUUACAAGAAUAUAUAUAUAUAUACGCGUGAGAGAAACAAUUAAAUCAAACACCCAGUGCCAAGUUAAUUCUUAAAAAUAGCUACAACAUUCUGAAUCCAAUUCUUUUUACUUCUACCUAAAGUUUCGUAUUCUCUUAAAAAAUACGAUAUAUAUCUAGCAAACUCGAAUGAAAAUACAUUUAUCAAAAAGAAAAACGAUUCCCUCUUGUCCUCUCGUUUUCACGAUUAUUUAAAACAGAUUGACUUACCUGUUAAGAAGGAUAAUCGUCGCAUGGCCGGAAACGGAUGAUUCCCGCUCGUGUCCAGAAGAUCAAGCUGAUGGACCUCGCCUUUAAUCCUGUACAGCUUUCGGUGGAAGUCCUCGAUCGUUGGUGUAUAACUCUCCUCGAACUUGUUGGACAAAAAUCUGCGAUGAAAUUCGUACGCAUUUUACAUCAUAUUAAAAAGGAAGGUUCGAUAAUUAUGAAGCAAAUUGUUAUUUAUGAACAACGCACUCGCGUGUUCCAUCUCCAUCUUUUUUUUUUGGAGUCAAAAAUAUAUUCGCCGGGACAAACGAACGGUUACACCUGUGUGUUUCACGAUGGAUUAUUUUUCGUGCGAAAUUAAAUCGUUUGUUCUAUUAGCGCGAGCCGACCAAGUUCGAUCGUGCGGAACGUGAAUCGACGGGAAGGAAAAUAUCGAAAAUUUUCACUGCGACGCGUUAAUAAUCCCGCUGGAAAAGUUGUGGGGAGUGCGAUCCAAUUUGUAAACGUAACUUUUGUCGAAAUGCUCGUUUCUAUUUGCGAAAUUAAAUAAAGAUGUAUAAAUCAAGUUUUAAAUAUUGAAUCCUUUGUUGUGCUUGGAUUGUUGCAGAUGGUGUGUAAUUUUUGAUUUUACUUGAUGCGUUAUAUUAUUGCGUAAUAAUUACAGAAUCCAAUAAAAAUCUGUAUACACGUCAUUUCAAUGGAAAGGAAUUAUCAUAGAUAUUUCUUUCGAAAUUGUUGAUGUUUCCAUUCGUGUUUUUUUCAAGCGGGUAAAAAAAUAUUUUAUUUAUCUUCAUUCUCCUUUAUCAACCACGAAACUUUUUUAAUAAAUUUUCGAAAAUGGAAAAUCGAGAGAAAUCUUCUUUUAGCAAAUUACACGAAAAACAAUUUAUAAAUACGAAUGUAUUCGAUAAAAAUAUUGAGAGAACGAAUGAAGAAAAACGAGCAAAUAUCUUUAUCGUUCAAUGCAUGUUUAUAAGAAUUAAAACCUAUUAAAAGAGAAAAAAAAUCAACUGAAAAAUGAAAACACACGAACUAUCGAAACGAAGAAACGGAAUCUAACAAAAAUUAUUCCGGUUCCAGUUCAGAGGAUAAGACCACGAAUGGAAUCGUCGAGAAACCGAACUGGAAAUUCCCGUGGCGAGUCCAUUAGCAAGUCGACCGUCGUAACGCGUGGUUAACGAAACCGGAGACAAUACCAGCCGCAUUUACACCGAACUGAAUCGAAUUCGAGGCGAGCGAAACUCCUUGUUUAGAAACGAAACUCGUAUCGUGAACAAAGGAAAAGCAACGAGCUCUCGCUGUCGUUGAAAACUUUUCGAAUCGGAUCGAGAAGGAAUUUUCGACGAUUUCUGCUCGAUCGUGCUGCUUCUAAAUCUACGACACGUUUCCCACGCCGGCGAACACUUGUCCAUUUUCUAACCCGCCGCGGUUAAAAAUAUCACCGUGUUGAAAGCGCCUCUGAUUUUGAGGGUGGAAGCGAACCGAUACGAUGGUUUCGUUCACGGCAACAGAGUUUGAUCAUCGUUCGUACGAUCGUUGCUGUUAUCGGUGAAAAAGUGUUAGAUGCGGUGUACAUCGAUCGAUAUGUAUAUAUAUAUAUAGAUAUCGAAUGUAAUUAUCCAACUUUUUUUUUAAUAUUGUUUUUUUAUCGAUUUUGCAGAAAAGAAAUUACUUAUAUUCUCUGUAUUUUUGAUGGAAUUUUUUGCGAAAAAGAUUUUGAAAUUUGGAAAUUUCAUUUAAUCACGAAAAGCUGCGAAACAAAUUACGUAAUCCUUCUACAAAAUUCUUCGUACAAAUUAAAGUAGAAAUUUUUUCGCUGAUCGAUAAAAUGAGUGAGCUACAUUUUGGAAAAUAUAUUUCGUGAUAUUUUUAGAUAUACUUUCAACUUUCGGUGAUUUCUCUACGUUGAGACUUAUAUUUUUGUGAAUCGAAAGAACUACUGGAUUAAAUAAAAAGACGAUAAUGAUAUAUUAAUUCGUUUAACGGGUAUAAAGGACGAAUUCUUUUUUUUAUGAGUUAAGAUUUAACGGAAUCGAUUUGAACGAUUUAUAUUUCCUCACAUCGAGCUUUCAACGAGAUGGUAUUUUUUAAACUGAAAGCGGUAUGCUUUUCACCGAUGAAAAAUACAAGAUCGUGGGGAAAAUACAAUAAUAUCACCGUCAGAAUCGCUUUGAAUCGCGACACAGCGAGGAAUUUCUUUCGAUUGUACGUCGAAUCAAUUGGGAAUAAUAUUUCAAAUAAACGCUCGUUACCAUUUUGAACGUUGUUCAAAAAGUCUUUGAACUUUGCUUGUUUUUGGCCCGGAUAAAAGAUUUUAACGCAAAUUUCUGAAUUUGUAUAAAAUAAGUUAUAAAAUAUUGAAACAAUUACUAUCGUUUAAACAAUAGUAUUUUUAUUUUUUUUUUUUAUAAAAAUGUUAAAUUUUCUAUAAAGCAAAUCAAUUUCAGAAUGUUAAAUAUAUAUUUCAUAAUUUUCUAGUUGAUAACAAAUUUAUGUUAUCAUCAAAGGAAUAUGAUAUAUUCCUUUUGACAAUUUUUUUUUUAAAUGUCCACGAAUAAUAAUUCACGACAUUCCGGAUUUUAGACUAAAGAAUAAAGUAGCAAUCUUGGUCGCGUUUCAAAAUAUAAAAUCCGAAAAUAUUUUUAUAUUUUUUCGCAAAAUUAUAUUCCCUGUGCACGUGUCACGACCCAAUUUCUGUAAUUCCUUCAAAAAAAGAAAAAAAAAGAAUGAGAUGGCAAGGGAAAA